RNAcentral lists this long non-coding RNA (624 nucleotides) under Homo sapiens (human). Its description in RNAcentral is "HSALNT0151183". Lineage: Eukaryota; Metazoa; Chordata; Mammalia; Primates; Hominidae. The record is from RNAcentral.
GGCUGCUUUUGAGCAGCAGAGCCAGAGACCCCUGUGCACUGUCCAUGGAGCAGCCUGAGCAAAGCACCAAGCUGAGAAAGUGCGUGGGAGAGCAAAGUGUCUGAUGCAGUUGGAAAAGACACUGAGGAGAUUGGGUUAAGUACCUAUGACUCCAGGAUUUGCCAGUGAAAGAAGUCAACAAUAUUUUAACUUUGAUCUUAACCAAAAGGCCAAGAAGUGAUGCUAAUAUUUUCAUAUACUACGACAGUUGCAGACACACGUCUAUCAUAGCUGGGUAGUAAUCCAGGCAACUCUGCCACAAGUCAUGGGCUCAGCCACCAGUCCACGAAGUCUCCAGUCACACAUAUUGCUUCGGACUAUUCUCUAUCCCCAGUUGUCAAUUAACUAAAAUAUUAAAUGAGAAGAAAACCUGAUGUCUGAGCUGAAUCCUAAUCAUGAAGAUGUUUUUCCACCAUUCCUGUCUGUGUUUUUCUACCAUUCCUGUCUGUGUUUUUCUACCAAAGUGUGCUCUUGAAGUUCUGCAUUUCCCAGGGUGUGGUGAAAGAAGAGAAAAAAAUGUCCAAGAUGACUUCAACGUUCUGACCUUGAGUGGCUUGAGUGAAUGGAGUUACAACUGUGCAGAAA